This 119-nucleotide ribosomal RNA is filed under the name Pogona vitticeps (central bearded dragon). Lineage: Eukaryota; Metazoa; Chordata; Lepidosauria; Squamata; Agamidae. The record is from RNAcentral.
UCUAGAAAUCAAUCCCACUACAAAUACACCCAGGCUCAUUUGAUUUUGGAAGCUAAGUAGGUUCAGUCCUAGAUAGUACAUGGAUAGGAGACCACCAGGGAAAAGAGACAUCUCCAGGU